This 2260-nucleotide long non-coding RNA is filed under the name Anas zonorhyncha (Eastern spot-billed duck). Its description in RNAcentral is "lncRNA (ENSAZOG00000004908.1)". Lineage: Eukaryota; Metazoa; Chordata; Aves; Anseriformes; Anatidae. The record is from RNAcentral.
AGUUAGACAAGUAUUGAAGAAAUGGAGCAAGCAACAGGUACAGAAAUCAAUAUAAGAAGCCAUCCAUCUGUUUCGAUUGCUGAAAGAUCUUGCAGAAAGUGAACAAUUAAUUUCUUAUCUCUGUGACUGUGCCGAUGAUGUCACAGCAACUAAUGCCAAAAUUUAGUGUUGUUUGCCCAUAACAAAGUACUUGAAGGCAGUCCACCCACUCAAACUACACUGACACAGAAUGUUUCUGAGCAGUCCUAUGGUUUAAUUGCUGGCAGCAAAUGUUCUAAAAAAUACAAUCUUUAGCAAAUCCGGAGUCACGUGAAUGAAAACUGGCAGUCUAUUUGGAUGAUUGUGCCUGAGGUAGCAAAUAAUUUCUGAUUAUGUUAUGAUAGUGGGAUGAAAAAUAAGUAAAGAAGAUAUUUCAAAGUCUACUCUAUAAUUCAGAUUUACUGUGGGACUGAGAGGUUGUCCAUGAGAUGGUGAAUGCAACUGUACAGCCAUCAAGAAUACAAGAGAAGUAUCGAAAAAUGUAAUAAAGAUAUAAAUGGCAUCUUUUUAUUUCAUAAUUGUGUCUUGAACUGUAACCAUUCUUGAAAUUUUCAAGUUGGCUUAAAGACUAGGUAUACGCACAUCUUAGUGGCAGGGCAUAAAGAGAAACAACAUGACACAGAAAAUGAUAUGUAGAGGAAGAAUCUUUAAAUUUAUUCCUAGUGGUUUUUAUGUUUUGUUUUGUCUUGCUUUUCACGUAUAAAGGACAUAUUAAUACAUGAGUUUUAAAGAAAGGCCCUACCCUGGAAAUACCAUAUCUUCAAAAUCAUACAGCAUUUACAGUAAGUGACUGCAUAUCUCUAGUCGUAGGUCUUAACAGCAAGCCAACUUCAUAAAUGUUACAUCCACACACGUAUCAUAUAUUCAUGCUGCUGAGAGAAGAAAAAAGUGCAAUGUGUUAGUGAAGAAUAAAAAAGAUCAAGCUGUGAAAAAUGACAGGAUGCCUACCAAGGUAAUGGAUACCAAGAGACUGCUGAGGAGGGACAGCCUCAGCCCUGAUGGAUCAAGCCCCAUCAUCAGGCUUCAUCAACAUGGAGUUAUACCAGCACAAGUGGAAUGUGAGAUAAGGUUACGGUUUCUUUUCCAGUGUAGCCACAUUGCACAAUUCCUACUGUGCACCAUUUAUAGAAGGACUAACAGCUCUAGCUUGUUCUGCAGUUCUAAGAGAGAUCAAACUGUUACAAGAGAAGGAGGUGAUGUUUGUUCAGUCAGUGAGAAAAGCACUGCGAGGCUACAGCCUGUGGCAGGUGGGAGCUCUCGCUCGAGUGUCUGCCCUCUUCCACCACUGAUGUACACGUGUCUUCACAGAAAGGUGACGUCUCAGUCUCUUGCCUGAGAAUAGCACCCAGAAAUCCCAGAAUUUGUUUUAUUUUUCUUCUGACUGAUGGAGCUUUCCGCCUGCUGAAGGACUUCUGUCUGAAGUGGACACACUCUGGGUUUGUUCCAGCAUAACCAACAUUAAAGUCAGACCAUGCCGUGGUCACUUGCUGUGUAAUCGUUAUACUUCUAUUCCUCUUUUUCUCUUCCUCCCCUUUGCUUUUAUUCUUUAUAAACAACAAUAGAUUGAAGUUAUUUGAGGCAAAAAGCAUUUCCUCAUGUGUAUUUUUACAGUCUCUAACAUGAAGUUACCCUGUCCUAGAGUCUCUGUCUAAUGCAUACAGUGCUACGUGUGUAAGCUGGGCACGGCACCAGCCAGAGGCAGCAGUCCUUGUAAGCAGGCAGGCAACAUAACUGUGAUCUACCUGCCCACCUCAGCCCACUGACCAUUUUUUGAGCAUUUUUUGAUGGAUGACAGUGUCAUCCGUCCUCUACCACUGCUCAGCCCUGGAAACAUUCCUCAUCUAUUGUUUUCCUUCUUCUCUUAGCACAUCUCAAAAAGCUUGGCAGAAUCUAGCACAAAUUACAUGAAGUCAUGCAAAGCAAACAUUUGGAAGCUGCAGAAAUGGAUGGUUAUAUAUUUUUUUUUCAGCUGUGUAUUGGAAGAGACUCUCCUGACCAAGCUGUUUUUCAGCCAUGUAAAGCUGUUGAUGACACAGGGUUUUCCCUCCGGAAAGGGAUAUGAUCCCAUGUAGGACAUGACCCCAGCAGCCUGUGGGACCAUGUUUGUACCCCUUGGCAUCCACCGUCUUUUUGAGGGCUGAAGCCCUGGUCAGCUGAGAAGGGAACAGAAGAGGAAAUUGAGAAAAUUAAGGUCUUUAGAAAUGAUUCUGUUGGUACAGCU